RNAcentral lists this Y RNA (107 nucleotides) under Prolemur simus (greater bamboo lemur). RNAcentral describes it as "Y RNA (ENSPSMG00000001604.1)". It matches the Rfam family "Y RNA". Rfam says of the family: Y RNAs are components of the Ro ribonucleoprotein particle (Ro RNP), in association with Ro60 and La proteins. The record is from Rfam by way of RNAcentral. Lineage: Eukaryota; Metazoa; Chordata; Mammalia; Primates; Lemuridae.
GGCUGGUCCAAAUGUAGUGAGUUAUCUCAGUUGAUUGCUCACAGUCAGUUAUAGAUUUAACUCCUUGUUCUUUCCCCCUUCUCACUACUGCACUUGACUGGUCUUAA